ACACUCCUACGGGAGGCAGCAGUGGGGAAUAUUGGACAAUGGGCGCAAGCCUGAUCCAGCCAUGCCGCGUGAGUGAUGAAGGCCCUAGGGUUGUAAAGCUCUUUCACCGGUGAAGAUAAUGACGGUAACCGGAGAAGAAGCCCCGGCUAACUUCGUGCCAGCAGCCGCGGUAAUACGAAGGGGGCUAGCGUUGUUCGGAUUUACUGGGCGUAAAGCGCACGUAGGCGGACUAUUAAGUCAGGGGUGAAAUCCCGGGGCUCAACCCCGGAACUGCCUUUGAUACUGGUAGUCUUGAGUUCGAGAGAGGUGAGUGGAAUUCCGAGUGCAGAGGUGAAAUUCGUAGAUAUUCGGAGGAACACCAGUGGCGAAGGCGGCUCACUGGCUCGAUACUGACGCUGAGGUGCGAAAGCGUGGGGAGCAAACAGGAUUAGAAACCCUGGUAGUCCCAUGA
RNAcentral lists this ribosomal RNA (451 nucleotides) under uncultured organism. Its description in RNAcentral is "partial 16S ribosomal RNA". It matches the Rfam family "Bacterial small subunit ribosomal RNA", at positions 333 to 800 of the family's 1533-position model. The record is from RNAcentral.